Neopsephotus bourkii (Bourke's parrot) is the source of this 437-nucleotide long non-coding RNA. RefSeq lists it as uncharacterized. Lineage: Eukaryota; Metazoa; Chordata; Aves; Psittaciformes; Psittacidae. The transcript has 3 exons. The record is from RefSeq and is a predicted model, not a curated record.
CAUCUUCAUUUGACUUCCUGUCAUGAACUGGCCAAAGCCUUUAAAGAAUCUAUUUCAUGUCUCCAUGGAGAGGAAACCUGCCUCCUUAUAAUUUUUAUCCAAAGUAGUUAUGUUGUAAAAAUGUGAUUACUGCCUCUGCAGCACUCGCCUGCUUCUGUAAUGGGAUAAUUGCAGAUAAAGACUGAGUAGCCUAAUCAGGGGAAUAACAGGAGCUGUUCUGAUACAGGUCAGGCAGCUGGGAGAAUGGGAUUAGCACAGAAACACACUUUUGAUGGAUGGGGAUGAGGCAGUUUUGAACCUGCGGGAACUGAAAAAUAUCAUCAGACACAUGCUGGAUUAUGUAAGGUCAGGUGCUGCGUAAGACUGAGCUGAUCAAUGCCACACACAGAGAGACCAUCCACUCCUGCGAAGGACUGCCUGGGAGAAGGCUUGUGCAG